AUGGCUUCCCGGCGUGCACUUGUGCUCCUCGCCGUCGUCGCCUCGCUAUGCCGCGCGGCGGUUGGUCAGCGUGCCAAGCCCCUGCUGCCGGGCGGGCCAAGCUGCUCAACUGCUGAUAACUACACCGACGGCAGCCCGUACAAGAAGAACCUCGACGAGCUCCUCGCCGGCCUCCCCGCGGCCGCCGGGGGUAAUGGCUGGUUCUACAACGGCACGGCUGGGGCGCCGGGGACGGCAGACCAGGUCUUCGGCCUCAUCAUGUGCUACGCCGACCGCAACGCAACGCAGUGCCGGGAGUGCCUGGCCGGCGCUCCCGCGGGGAUCACCACGGCGUGCCCGGGGAGCCGGAACGUGCGUGCGGCCUACGACGCGUGCGUGCUCCGGUACUCGCCGCCGCCCUCCUUCUUCUCCACCGCCGACCUCGCCGUGAAUUUCCAGGUGCGCGCCAUCGCCUUCGCCGUUGACCCGGACAAGAUGCUCAACGCGUGGCUCACGCUCAUGACCGACCUCACGGGGCGCGCCGCGAGCUCGCCGUCGCGGGUGGCGAACGCGACCACGCCGUACGACGGCGACCCGGCGAUGUUGGUGUACGGGCUGGCGCAGUGCACCAGGGACCUCAACGCCACCGAGUGCACCAGGUGCCUUGUCUCGAUGGUCGGCCAGCUCCGGAGGCGUUUCACGAACGAGACCGGCGGCGCAAUCAAGGCGUUCAGCUGCUAUGUCAGGUACGAGCUUGGUGCUUUCGACAUCACCCUCCCGCCUGAGCCGCCGCAGCCGCCCCCGCCGCCGUCGUCUCCACGGCCGGGAGGAUCAUCGUCUUCCUCAAGAACAGCGCUGGCGGUCGGCCUCUCCGUCGGUUCUGCAGCGCUGUUGGUCAUUCUGGGCUCCUUGAUCUGCCUCUCUCUACGGCGGCGACGGAGGAAGCGACAGCAGGAAAGGGAGCGGCAGCUGGAAGAGGGCAGCUUCUUCGACGGCGACGACCCGGCCAUGGAAGAUGACUUCGAGAAAGGGACCGGGCCGAAGCGGUUUCGCUACGGCGAGCUGGCCAUCGCCACCGACAACUUCUCCGACGAGAAGAAGCUCGGGGAAGGAGGCUUCGGCUCGGUGUACAGAGGACGCCUCAAAGAAAUGAAGCUGGAUGUGGCCAUCAAGAGAGUCUCCAAAGGGUCCAAGCAGGGGAGGAAGGAGUACGCCUCGGAGGUGCGGAUCAUAAGCCGGCUCCGGCACCGGAACCUGGUGCAGCUCAUCGGCUGGUGCCACGGCGGCGGCGAGCUGCUCCUCGUCUACGAGCUGAUGCCCAACGGCAGCCUCGACACGCACCUCUACGGCCGCAGCAACGCCGCCGUGCUCCCAUGGCCGGUCAGGCAGGAGAUCGUGCUGGGACUGGGCUCUGCUCUCCUGUACCUUCACCAGGAGUGGGAGCAGUGCGUCCUGCACAGGGACAUCAAGCCAAGCAACGUCAUGCUGGACGCCUCCUUCGCCGCCAAGCUCGGCGACUUCGGGCUGGCCAGGCUCGUCGACCAUGGCCGAGGGUCGCACACCACGGUGCUCGCCGGCACCAUGGGAUACAUGGACCCGGAAUGCAUGAUCACCGGCAAGACCAACGCCGAGUCUGAUGUCUACAGCCUCGGCGUCGUCCUCCUUGAGAUCGCCUGCGGCAGGCGCCCUCUGGUGGUUAUAGCUGAGCACGAGGACGACACGAUGCACCUGACUCAGUGGGUCUGGGAUUGGUACGGCAGGGGAAGGAUCCUCGACGCCGCCGACGAGCGGCUGCAGGGAGAAUUCAACGGGAAGGAGAUGGAGUGCGUGAUGGUCGUCGGGCUCUGGUGCGCCCACCCUGAUCGGAGCCUGAGGCCGACGAUCAGGCAGGCCGUCAACGCGCUGCGGUUCGAGGCGCCGCUGCCCAGCCUCCCGUCAAGGAUGCCGGUGGCGACCUUCAUGCCGCAGGUCGGCACUUUCACUACAUCUUCGGCUGCCACAGGCGGCACCAGCAGCACUGUCACAUCUUCAGUUGCAACAGGCGUCGGCAGCAGCACUGGCACUUCUUCAGUUGCAACGGGCGUCAGCAGCAGUAGCAUCCUAACAGCAAGCUCGACUGAGACAUCCUCCCUGCUGAAAUGA
Molecule: ribosomal RNA, 2121 nt
Filed under: Triticum aestivum (bread wheat)
Lineage: Eukaryota; Viridiplantae; Streptophyta; Magnoliopsida; Poales; Poaceae
Description: partial small subunit ribosomal RNA
Source: RNAcentral